UAGAUGAAUGCUCGCUGGAUAGAGCGCUUAGCUGUUAACUAAGAGUUUGUAGGAUCAAGGCCUUCUUAUCUAG
Molecule: transfer RNA, 73 nt
Filed under: Hypomesus transpacificus
Lineage: Eukaryota; Metazoa; Chordata; Actinopteri; Osmeriformes; Osmeridae
Description: tRNA-Asn
Rfam family: tRNA
About the family: Transfer RNA (tRNA) molecules are approximately 80 nucleotides in length. Their secondary structure includes four short double-helical elements and three loops (D, anti-codon, and T loops). Further hydrogen bonds mediate the characteristic L-shaped molecular structure. tRNAs have two regions of fundamental functional importance: the anti-codon, which is responsible for specific mRNA codon recognition, and the 3' end, to which the tRNAs corresponding amino acid is attached (by aminoacyl-tRNA synthetases). tRNAs cope with the degeneracy of the genetic code in two manners: having more than one tRNA (with a specific anti-codon) for a particular amino acid; and 'wobble' base-pairing, i.e. permitting non-standard base-pairing at the 3rd anti-codon position.
Source: RNAcentral